CUUUUUUUCUAGGGUGGGAGGGGAGCGAGCGAGAGAGGGAGUACUUGGGGAGAGACAGAACGUUGGAGAGGGAAGGGGGGUACUUGGAGAGAGGGAGCGGCGGUGGGUGGUGGGUGUAGCCGGUCAAGGCAGCUCGAGGUCGCCGCGCAUAGUGUGGGGCUCGAGGGGAUACAGGCGUGGAGGAAGGGGAGGCCGAUCUUAGUCGCGAGUUCGGCAGGUGGUCGGGGGCACCAUCGAUCCCGAAGCCGGCGGUGGGGAAUGGACCGGCCCUAGGCGGUGUAGGCCGCUGCAGCUCCGGUCGCCCGCGGCCUAGGCAGUGGCCGCACGGGUCGUCCUGUCCGUGUCUACCUCCUUGUGGCAGAAGUAGGGGACGGGGCUGCGGUUUCCACUAACGCAGUUUUUGUACCUCCGCAAGUCCUUCGCCCGCCCGUUCAAGUUCCUCGUUCAGCGGCUCGUCGUCGUCUAUUAUAUAAACUCGUGCGCCUACGGCCUCCCCAGCACGGACUCCUCUGGCUCGAGCGGUACGACGAGUAAAAGUUACGGUUGUUCCCUUCCCGGCUGCUCCUCUUGUCCCAGGGAUGUGGUUCUCCAUUGACCGCGUUGUCGACAUUGAACUCUGCGACCUGACCUCCUUCCUGGUACUCCUCUUGUUGAUGUAUUACAAUACCUACUUGUCCUACUACCCUCCCACUUAGUCUAGAUCCUCGUGUAGCUGAUGCUCCAAACGGUUGUGCUGUUCAUGGCAUACACACAGAUGAGUAGGUUGGACCUGCUUUACGAAGAGCCUUAAGAAUUUCUCCUUCUGUUACCUCGGUACGACAACAACACGUUGUCCGAUACAAAAAACAUUAUGGUAAACAGAACCGACACAUAGAAUGAAACACACACGAUCCUAUGAGUUUUUCGAUAGAGACAUUAAAUUUAGACACAAUACAACAGACCACACACAUUGGAAUAAAACACACACGACCCUAUGAGUUUUUCUAUAGACAGAUUAAAUUUAGACACAAUACAACAGACCGCACACAUUAGAAUAAAACACACACGACCC
RNAcentral lists this ribosomal RNA (1051 nucleotides) under Triticum aestivum (bread wheat). Its description in RNAcentral is "partial small subunit ribosomal RNA". Lineage: Eukaryota; Viridiplantae; Streptophyta; Magnoliopsida; Poales; Poaceae. The record is from RNAcentral.